RNAcentral lists this ribosomal RNA (267 nucleotides) under uncultured beta proteobacterium UMTRA-614. Its description in RNAcentral is "partial 16S ribosomal RNA". It matches the Rfam family "Bacterial small subunit ribosomal RNA", at positions 229 to 488 of the family's 1533-position model. Lineage: Bacteria; Pseudomonadati; Pseudomonadota; Betaproteobacteria. The record is from RNAcentral.
GCCGAUGUCUGAUUAGCUAGUUGGUGGGGUAAAGGCCUACCAAGGCGACGAUCAGUAGUUGGUCUGAGAGGACGACCAACCACACUGGGACUGAGACACGGCCCAGACUCCUACGGGAGGCAGCAGUGGGGAAUUUUGGACAAUGGGCGCAAGCCUGAUCCAGCCAUGCCGCGUGAGUGAAGAAGGCCUUUGGGUUGUAAAGCUCUUUCAGUUGGGAAGAAACGAUUGCAACUAAUAAUUGUAAUUAAUGACGGUACCGACAGAAGA